UUUAAUAUCAUCAUGAAGAUUAUCAUUGCUACAUUAGCUAACAUUAGCCGCAACAAUGAUGUUAAUAAAUAUCUUAUAACUAUUAAAUUAACAUUUCAAUUAUACAUUAGCUAGAGGUUCAAAUCCCAAGACCUAAGCCUAGACCUAGACUCUAGAGUGAAGCCCUAAACCUAAGUGAUCCAAACCUUAGAUUAUAAUCUUGGCCAUAGAUAGUUUGUACAACUUUGAUCUAACCAUACGAUCUUAUGAUUCAUGUUAGGAUUUGACUCUAAGGGCGUCUUAGCGACACUAGAAGGUGAUUCAAAGUAUAAGGUAGUACAGGUGGCUUUAGUGAUAUGUAUGUUCAGACUUGAUGAGGAGCAGGGUACGAUUGCCAAGGAUGCAUGGCUGUAUUUACCUGGAGGAGCUACGUGAUCUUGCGGCUUAUAUUUAUAUGCUUUUCGCUAUUCUUCAUGUAUUAAAUUUUUGUAAAUCUUGUACUUGUUAAAUUCAGAGACAUUGGUUUGUAUAAGUCAUUAUGGGCAGCUUCUUGUAAAUUUGAAUGAUAAUGAAAUUUUCAUUUAUGUCCAUUUGUCCACACUACGCUCA
Long non-coding RNA from Magnolia sinica, 588 nucleotides. RefSeq lists it as uncharacterized. The transcript is spliced from 2 exons. Lineage: Eukaryota; Viridiplantae; Streptophyta; Magnoliopsida; Magnoliales; Magnoliaceae. The record is from RefSeq and is a predicted model, not a curated record.